Molecule: ribosomal RNA, 1007 nt
Filed under: uncultured bacterium
Lineage: Bacteria
Description: bacterial SSU rRNA
Rfam family: Bacterial small subunit ribosomal RNA
Source: RNAcentral
AGAGUUUGAUCCUGGCUCAGGACGAACGCUGGCGGCGUGCCUAACACAUGCAAGUCGUGCGAUUGAGAGGUGAGCAUCUCACUUCUCAAGAGCGGCGGACGGGUGAGUAAUGCGUGAACAAUCUACCGGCAAGACUGGGACAACACCGGGAAACUGGUGCUAAUACCGGAUAAUCUCCACCGGCGGCAUCGUUGGUGGAGGAAAGUCGGCCUCUGGAUAUGCUGGCGCUUGUCGAUGAGUUCACGUCCCAUUACUUGUUGGUGGGGUAACGCCCACCAAGGCGACGAUGGGUACCGCCUGAGAGGGUGGUCGCCACACUGGGACUGAGACACGCCCAGACUCCUACGGGAGGCAGCAGUGGGGAAUCUUCCGCAAUGGGCGCAACCUGACGGAGCGACCCGCGUGAGGGGCGAAGCCUUCGGGUUGUAAACCUCUUUUCUGGGGGAAGAACGUCCGCCUCUUAAUAGCGGCUUGGGUUGACGGUACCUCAGGAAUAAGCCCCGGCUAACUACGUGCCAGCAGCCGCGGUAAUACGUAGGGGGCGAGCGUUGUCCGGAGUCACUGGGCGUAAAGGGCGCGUAGGCGGCUUGAGAAGUCGCAGGUGAAAUCCCGCGGCUCAACCGUGGAACUGCCUGCGAAACCAUUGGGCUUGAGGACAGGAGAGGGAAGCGGAAUUCCUGGUGUAGCGGUGAAAUGCGUAGAUAUCAGGAGGAACACCAGUGGCGAAGGCGGCUUUCUGGCCUGGUCCUGACGCUGAGGCGCGAAAGCAGGGGAGCAAACAGGAUUAGAUACCCUGGUAGUCCUACUGUAAACGAUGGGCACUAGGUGUUGGGGGGUUCAUUCCUUCAGUGCCGUAGGGGCCAAUAAGUGCCCCGCCUGGGGAGUACGGUCGCAAGACUGAAACUCAAAGGAAUUGACGGGGCCCUUCCCCGGUGGAGCGGGAAAUUUAAUUCGAUGCAACCUAAUUUUUCUUCCAGGGGAGGAACAUUCUGUACGGAGUGGAAACA